UAACUACCUCCAAGAAAGGGUUUCACCCCCAAAAAGCCAGUGUGAACAAUCUUGUGUCAUUAUUCUUUGAAUUUCAGAUAACAGGCUAUCCCAGACUCUUCUUUUAUAAAAAUAGAAAUGACAGCUGUCACUUCUUGAACAUUUAUUAAGUAGUAGGCACUAUGCUAAACCCUUCAGAUACCCUAUGUUCACACCCCUGUGAGGUAGGUUUACUAUCGUUAACUCACAGAUAAGGAAAAUGAGGCUACAAGAACUGAACUAAACUACAGUUGGCUGAGCCAGCAAUUGAAUCAGUUUAGAUUCCAGAGUCUAUGUUUGUAAAUAAUAUGCCAUAGUGCUUUCUAUUCACAGAGCAUCUGCCCCAUUAACCGCUCUCGGUUAUCAUCUUCCACCAGAGAGAACACACCGAGGGACUCAGCAAAAUGUCCUGUAAGAUGAGGGAAAUGACUGAUUUUGUCCUGCUUGCAGGAUCUUAGUUCCCCAGCCAGGGAUGAAACCUGGAACCCUGCAGUGAAAGCACCAAGUCCCAACUACUGGACCACCGGGGAAUUCCCAAGAAAAUUCAAUUUUCAGUCUCCAACUCCAUGUACUGAAAACAUGCCAGUUCUGAGAGAAGAGGCCCCAUGAGGACAUGAUGAGAAGGCAGCCUUCCACAAGCCAGGAAAAGAGACCUCACAAGAAACCAAUCCUGCUGGCAUUUUGACCUUGAAAUUCUAGCCUCCAGAAUUGUGAGAAAAUUAAUUUCUGUUAUUUAAGCCAGUUAGUCUGGUAUUUUGUUAUGGAAGCCCGAACAGGCUAAUACAGUAGCAUAAUGUUGGGUAAUGAUAAGAAUCAUGAAGAAAAUAAAGUAUGGCAGAAGGAUAUAUAGUGAUGGGGUGGAGAGCUAUGUUGAAUAUGGAAAGUAGGAAAGGCCCUGGGGGAAGAUCAUUCCAGGCUGAAGUAUUCCUGGGAGAAUUAAUUCCCUGACAUGAGAACAAAAUGGAGGCGUGUGAGAAAUAGCUAAAAAGGCUGUGUAGCCCAAGCACAUUAGGCAGAGACACAUGAAAGGAAAUGAGGACAAAGAGGAAACCACGGGCCAGAUUAUUAGGGCCAUGUAGGCCAUAGCAAGGACUUCAGAUUUUGUUCUAAGUGGGAUGGAAAGCUGCUGGAAGGUUUUAAGCAAGAGAGUGACAAAUAUGAUUUACUUUAAAAGGGUCACAGACACACAGGAAGGAGACUGUGGGAGAGAAAGACUGGAAGGUGGGAGAAUGGUUAGAAGGCUAGUUUAACAGUCCAGGUGAGAGAUGGUGGGGGUAUGGGCUAGACGGGAUGGGGUUGAAGGAGGUGAGAAAUAGUUGGAUUCAGAGUAUAUUUUCAAGAUAAUUGAGGAUUGCUCUAUCAGUUAGAUGCGGCAUGCAAGAGAAAGAAAAGAAUCAAGGGCCCUGACUGAGCUGUGCACUAGUCAUUGCGGUGCUGUUUACUGAGAUGAUAAAACAGCAGGAGGCACAAGUUUGUGGGGAGCGGGUUUGAAUCAAGAGUUCAGUUUUGUACAUGUCUAUUAGACAUCCAAGUGGAGAUGUUGAAUAGGCAAUUGGAUAGACCAGCAUGGAGUUCAGGGAGGGUUAGAAUUAGAGAGAUAAAAUGAGUGUCAUUAGCAUUUAAGUGGUAUUGAAAGACUGAAUAUCGUUAAUCACUGCCAGCACCUGCUUCUCAAUUUACAGAUCCAUAUUUAAGGGUGGGAGAGGCAGUAAGGAGCUAUUUUCCUAUCUUUCUGCUCCUCCUUUCCAUUCUCCAUCCCCUCAAAAAUUACCCCAUCUGGCUUCAAGCCCUCACUUCAAGAAGACUUCACACUUGGGCCGGUGAUGCUGACUGUUACACACUGAAGCACAUUCCCCAGUCACCUGGCGAGGCAGAGUCCUCCCACUGGUGGAGCUUGGCUGCUUUGGCUGUGGUUCUAAGCUCAGUCUAGGCCUGCCCUCUCUAAAGCCUGAAUCCCUGGAGGAGGUGAGCCUUUUUCCUUGACCGCCUACCUGCCUCUCCUCACCAUUUCACAGACCUGGUGUCUUCACUGACUCUCGGCCUUUCUUCAACUCCAGUAGGGAGGCAGUGAGAGCAAAUCUCUUUUAUGGGACCAUAGACCUCUUUUGGUAAUGAAGAAGAAAAACAACAACUGCUUUAAGUGAAUAAGGGAGAAAACGCCUACCUCUGGGAGUCAAAAGUCCCACUGUAGUUUCCAUGAAUCAUUGCCACUAAACUGAAUGAAGAGGAUGACCUUGAAAGGGGAGCCUCCAUAAUCUGGCCUGGCUAGGUUAUGGAGAAUUACUCAAGAAUGAGCCAUAACCCAAAGUCAGAUCUGGUGGGAACCUGAACCUGCCAGCACCCAGGAGUGCUACUGGUGGCCUAGCGUAGAGAUCUUCAAACUGGGGUGCAAGUAUCUUGAGCAUGAAAAAGGGAUCCAGUUUAUAGAUGCUCAUUUUUAGGUCCCUACAGCUGAGCUGUUUGAGGAGGCUACUGUGCCUUACUCUUUUAAGACCUCAUGCUGCCCUUUCAUUACUGCCCCUUCCCACUUUAGUAAAGAAUUCCCACCUGGAAUCUUAUGAGGCCAUUUCUUCUGGAUGUAAAGAGUUCCUAACCAAGGAAUUAUUUAAAAUCUUAGUUUCAAAGAAGGAUCCUUAAAGUAUUUAUCAAGGGACCAUAAUUUUGUGUUUUCCCCUAGCUUAUACUAAAUACCAUAUAUCACCAAUUCUAAGAUAAGCAUUUUUUCACAUUGUAACCUCUCUGAAAUUGGUGUAUCUUACCAUCAUGUAAGCCCAGUGGUUGUUAUUACCUGCACUUGUGCAUUUUCACAAUCAAAACUUGUAGAAUGCAUAUUGGAUGUAUAGUGGAGCACCUUUUUAUCACCUAAGAAGCAGAGCUAUGGGGCAAAAGUGGACAGUGGGUGGUGAAUCAAAUGAGGUUAACAAUAUUCCUAAAGCAGAAGACAAAUUCUUUUGUCUAGAAUAACUCUCUAGGUCAAGUAGGUGAGUUUCUAAAUUUAAACCUAUCACCCAGAGAUACAUUCCUUGUUGCCAAUUCAGUUUUGAGAACUUAAAAAACUUCUGUAAGGGCAGUCUGUAAGGAAGCGCUCUAUUCCCAGCUCUCUUUCUUAUUUGCUACGUUGACUGAAGGCAAUUUUACUCUACAUUACGUUCCUUGAACAGAUAUAGGUUUGUGAGUAAUUUCAACAGUAUUCAUAAAAUGAAUCUGCUCUUCAAAUUUUGAUGAUGUGAUCAUUUCAACAGAAAAAAAUAGAAGAUGUGUUUGUUGGUGGUUAUUGGGCUGUACCCCACAGGCCUACAAGGCCUGUGCUUGCCCAGCUUCAAGACUGAAGAAAGCCUGGAGUCAGCAACAGAGACAUCAGUGUGAGACAGGCUGGGACCUUUUGCUGCAGUGCUGCAAUGCUUGCACCUGGACUAAUGUCUCCUGGAGCAAGAAAAUACUGAUACAAAGAAAACUAUAAGGGACUAAAAGUGGCCGCUGUCCAUGCACAGUUCGGGCAAAUUCUAGACAAAAGAUACAAAAAGACCAAAAAAACCCCAACUGCCACUUCUGAAGAGCUGGGAGUAAAAACAGGAUGUCCGAGCAAAAGCAGGGUACUGCACAUGCCCCCAGCACUCAACACCAACAACAGGGGUCGGCAAAGCACUGAAGCCACCCCUCUGGCUCGACCCCUGGACACACCCCUACCCUCACCCCAUAGAAGGAAGCAGCUCCCUCCACUUUGGGGAGGGAGCAAGGGAACGUGUUACUUGUUUUCGCUCC
This is a non-coding RNA of Kogia breviceps (pygmy sperm whale), 3780 nucleotides long. NCBI's taxonomy places the organism in Eukaryota, Metazoa, Chordata, Mammalia, Artiodactyla, Physeteridae. The record is from RefSeq and is a predicted model, not a curated record.